RNAcentral lists this long non-coding RNA (3742 nucleotides) under Homo sapiens (human). RNAcentral describes it as "HSALNT0368140". The record is from RNAcentral. Lineage: Eukaryota; Metazoa; Chordata; Mammalia; Primates; Hominidae.
AGCUGCCUUGACUGAGUAAGUCAGAGAAGGCUUCCUGGAGGAGAGCGAAGGGUGUGGGGCUGGGUUGAGAUACAGGAAGAUCUGGGUUUGAAUUAUAGUUUGGCUGCUUCCUAGCUGUUUGAUCUUGGACAAAACUUUCAUUCAUUCUAUAUUUUUUGGAGUGUCUACUCCAUGCCAAUCAUGUGUGAAAUGUUGGGAUAACAAAGGCGAAUUCAAUCUGGCUCUCGUCCUCGGAGCUUAAGCAAAUCAUCUGGGGUAGCGUGACCCAUGCUACGAUGGAGGUGGAAUACGGGGCUGCAGGGCGGGGCCACAGGACAUAGUGGGCAGCUUAACCUCCUUGAGCCUCCCUAUCCCUAAUUCACGUGAUGGGGUUUGUAACCACUUCUCACAUCGUUGAGAGAAAAGGGUGAGCCUGACUCAGAGGUGUGGCAAAGGAAGGGCAGGGCAGGCUUUAAGGACAGGGACAGGGCUGUCAGAGGCUGAGGCUAGGGAGGGGCAGGAAGGGGUGUGAGGCAGGGCGGAAGAGAGCAGGGCCCUGGGCAGGUGCUGAGCCAGGUCCUGCAGGUCACCCAGUCGCUUGAGUCCACGAAUGCUGGAGGCAGGCACUGGAGAGCCAGGGUGGUUCAGCCGCAGCUCCUCUGAGCAGGGAGUCAAACAGGGCUGAAACAGACACCAGCUCUCCAGGACCAGCUGGUAAGAGCUUCUCCACUGCCCCCGAGCCCUGACAGGAGGACUCCCACAGUGUGCAUGGAAGCCCAGGGAGCUCGGGGGCUACAGAGGCACCAUUGGCUCUGGAGCCUGCAGCCCAGACAGCCCCCUCCAGAUGUAAUGGGGGAAGGAGCCAGGGACUGGGAGGAAUUCAGAGGUCAGAGGAGGAGCAGUAUCAGGAGAUACUGCCCUCCUGCAACUCCUCCUCCCAGCUGCUCUCCCCUCCUGCUAGUGCCCACAAUGGCUCCCAGCUGCCUCCUAUAAGGAAGCUUUAUUAGCCUGCAGCCUGUACUCCUCCACGCAGCAGAGCUGACAGGACCCCAUUAGUCAGCUUAUUCAACCCUUCCCCUGGUGCACAAACCCUUGCCAAGCUUUUCUGGCAUUUUGCUCAGCCUGCUUGGACCCUCCAAGCAGGUAGGAACUCACUGUUUCACAAAGCAGUGUUAUUAGAAAGGUUUCCCUGACCCUAGCCCCCCACAUCUAAUCUUUCUCAAAUGUGGGCAGACUUGUUCCUGGCCCCUUCUCAUUCCACCAGUGCACACAUGCACAUGCUCCCUCUCUCCAUCCAAGCUCCAGGAAUCAACCUCUACCCUGAACCAGGUCCCUGAGGACCACCACGUGGCUGCAACACAGCAGGAGUUCACAGUCCAGAGGAGAAGCCCGAUGCUGAACAGAGAAUCACAUCCGUGAGCAACACAAAAGGCAAGGCAAACCCUGGGCAGAUGCCCCCGGGACUGUGUGUUAUGGGCCUACAGGAAGCCUCUCCCAAUGAAAAAGCAAUUUUUCAGCCAGAACCUCCACCAGUGUCUUUCAAACUGUGAGUGGCAACCCAUUUGUGGGUCAUAAAAUCAAUUUAGUAGUUGUGACCUGAAUUACUUGUUAGUGAAAUAGAGAGGAAUUUACAACAUCACACUUAGGAAAUACUGUUUUGUGAAAUGUUAGUUUCAGUUAUCUAUCUAUCUAUCUGUCUGUCUGAGAGAUCAUGUUUAUUAGUUAAGAUAUUAAAUGUAUUUCUUACUGCAGGUCUCAAUCAAAAACCUCUGAAAGCCACUGGCCUAGAGUUAGAGGAAGAGUUAGCCAUGAGAAAUGGUGGUGACACAGGUUCCAAAAGAAGAAACAAUAGGUAUCAGGCUCAGAGAUGAAAGGGCUAGAAGGAGGACACACCAAGUUCAAGGUCUGGCCUUUCUCGAGGGCAGUGGGGAGCCAUGGGAGGUUAGCAAGAUCCCAUCUUCUUCAUCCCUGGGCCUCACCCCAUGGGCAGGAGGGAAAUGGCAGGAAGUUGUCUUUGUGUCUCCCCAGGAGCCUGGACCUGUGGCCUUCCCUGCCUCCACCUGGGCCUCAACCGUCACGACCACCUGGCCUUUGAGGUAGGGUUUGGAGAAGGAAGUCAGCCUAUUAUCAGGAGAAGGCUUGAAUUUCUAUAUUCAUAGCUUGUUUCUGUCACUUACUAGCCUUGUGAUCAUGGGCAACUUGUCUAAUCUCUGUCCCUCAGUUUCCUCCUUUGUAAAAUAGGUCUCAUAGAACUCAUCCCCAAAAGUCCUUGUGAAGAUUUAGUUUGUAAGCCAGAUGUCUGCAGACCUCCAGUAAAAGAAUAUGUUUUUGGUAUUAGUAUGUAUGUCCCAAAUAUUGCUUGGAAUAUGCUUAUACAAACAAAAAUCAUUUGUUUUUUAUCUGAAAUUCAAAUUUACCUGGAUGUCCUGUAUUUUAUCUGGAAACCCUACACAGAAAUCAAAUGGCUCACGCUGUGUCUCAGAGCUGCAACGAUCCAACGCCCUCCAUCCUUCAGAGGCUGUCUGAGUCCGGGGACACAACUCCCACCCUCCUCUCCUGCCAGCCGCGGCCCGUGGCUGCUCUCUUCACUUCGUCCCGCUUCGCCCCGACUGUGGAUCUACCCGCUCCCUUCUCCCUCAGUCCCCAAAGCACCAGACUCACAGGCCUGCUGUGUGACCCACUUUUACCGACCUUUCGGGGAGAGUAGAGGGCAUUUGUGACUCAGCUCAGAGCAGGAAACACAUCUCACGUCAACUGUCAGACAGCGCUGCUCCGAAUCCCAUCACAGUGCUCCAGCAGGGGGCGUCCUCACCGGCCGCGGCCACAGCCACGGCUCAACCCGGCCUAGCUCCCAGACACCCUCCUUCCACCGCCUGUUUUCCACCGUCCCCGCCUGCUCUUUCAAGCCAGCAGCAAACAACACCCUAAUCCGUGUCUUUAUUAUUCAAAGACCUUAAGCACUCUUUCCCACCUCGUUCCCAUCUUGAUUAUUUCAGGGAAUGAAUUAGGGAUUCACCUUUACAAUCAAAAAAGUUCUCUCAAAGCCAGGCUACUGGAGUUCUAAUUCUGCCUUCCCACUUUUACUAGCUGUGAAAUCUCAGGAAAGUUACUUAACCUCUCUCUGUCUCAUUUUCCUCAUCUUUAAAAAACAGGAUGAUAAUAUUUAGCUCCUAAGAUGGUUGUGAGGAUUUAAGUGAGCUGAUAUAUCCAAGAAUGUCUAGAACAGCGCGUGGCAGAAUGGGCAUUGCAUAUGGGUUUAAUCUUGUAACUGCCAUGUUUCACCAAUUCUAAGGUGUAUCUCGUUUCUCAUCAUAAGAGCUCUUCCGCUCGUGUGGCAGCUGGGAGUGGCCGUCAUUGCCUGCGCAUACCUAAACUUGGUCAGCAGCCAAGUGUUUUGUGAGACCUAAGAAAGGAAGAGCCCCAUAAGUAAAUGGAACUGUUGUGUUGUUUUAUUACCGAGAAAAGGGCAGAAUGAUUGCUAGUCACACGUGAAGCAAGAAAACCCCGGCAAUAAAGCUUGCAGAAUGAGUGGCUGAGGCUUGAAAAUAAAUGGUGGAAACAAUAGUGGACAAUCUUUUAAAGAAUGGCACAUUGCCAAUGCUCCUGAUGGCACAGAAGGUGACACCAUGCAGAAAAUCAAGGCUCUGAGUCAAAGAGGGUUUCAGAAAAAUUGGACUCUGAAUGUGAAGAAAUCUGGGGACUAUUUUAGCCAAUUUGUUUUGCCUAUAAUUUCCUUUUAUGCAUGCAAAAGAGCAAUUCUGAC